Molecule: long non-coding RNA, 284 nt
Filed under: Carica papaya (papaya)
Lineage: Eukaryota; Viridiplantae; Streptophyta; Magnoliopsida; Brassicales; Caricaceae
Description: long non-coding RNA (CPAP_LNC015744)
Source: RNAcentral
UUUGAUGAAGAUUUUAUUGGACUUAGGUUGUUAACUAUACUUCUUGACUCAUGUGAAAACUUUAAAGUAUCUUUGACCAAUCUGCUCUUAAUGUUGUAACAAUGUAGUAUACAAAGACAGUUGGUUACUGAAAACAGGGGGAGAAGUAAAAGUAAGGGUCAAGAUCAAAAUAGAACUAAAAGCAGGAGUAUAUCAAAAUCAAUGUACAAGAACAUUAAAUGUCAUAACUAUGGUGAAGCAAGGCAUAUCAAGAAAUAUUGUUAUAAGUGGAAGAAAGAGAACAA